This 71-nucleotide transfer RNA is filed under the name Loxodonta africana (African savanna elephant). It matches the Rfam family "tRNA". Rfam says of the family: Transfer RNA (tRNA) molecules are approximately 80 nucleotides in length. Their secondary structure includes four short double-helical elements and three loops (D, anti-codon, and T loops). The record is from Rfam by way of RNAcentral. Lineage: Eukaryota; Metazoa; Chordata; Mammalia; Proboscidea; Elephantidae.
GCAUUGGUGGUUCAGAGGUAGAAUUCUCACCUUCUGUGCAGGAGACCCGGGUUGGAUUCCUGACCAAUACA